RNAcentral lists this transfer RNA (71 nucleotides) under Oryctolagus cuniculus (rabbit). It matches the Rfam family "tRNA". From Rfam's summary of the family: Transfer RNA (tRNA) molecules are approximately 80 nucleotides in length. Their secondary structure includes four short double-helical elements and three loops (D, anti-codon, and T loops). The record is from Rfam by way of RNAcentral. Lineage: Eukaryota; Metazoa; Chordata; Mammalia; Lagomorpha; Leporidae.
GUAUUGGUGGCUCAGUGGUAGAAUUCUCGCCUCCAACAUGGGAGACCCUGGUUCAAUUCCUGUCCAAUGCA